GACCUGUAAAAUGUGCAUAAAGAUAGGCUACGGUGGCCCUCCUGGGGGAGCAGCCCUAGAGUUGAGGUGCACGUGUCUGCCGGACUUGUCCCUGAGGCUGAUGGAGUAUGCUUUGCCAUGGGCCUUGAAGCCACAAGCUUGCUCCUUGGAGGGCAUGCCCUCCUGCUCGUUCCUUCCAGUUGGUCUGGCACCAGCACCGGGUGAUGGAUGUUCAGACCCUGGGGAAAGCUGGCUGUGCUGCGCUGCACUGUGCUGCCAGGGAGCACACGCCCAUUUAACAUGUCACUGCGAAGGUCUUUGAGACGGUAGAGGUGCUGCUGGGGAGACAGCAGGGCUGUCAGGCGUUGUCUAGGACAGAGAGAGGCAACGCUGGUUGCAACUCACCUGUCUCCUCUUCUGGACGCCCCACUUCAGCUUAGCGCCUGUAUUAGGUGCCUGCUGUGUGUCCGACACUGCGCUAGCUGCCGGGGAGACCGACCAACCCGUCGCGGCUGCUCCCAGAGAAUUUACUUUCUGUUGGGAGACAGAACGUGUGGACAGAGGAACACAAGUGAGACAGUUUGAGGUCGAGAGCCCUUGUAACUCCAGAGGGGAGAAGAAACUUCCCUAGACUCUCUGCUGGGGCACGGGGCACAGAGCACAGGCUGGAGGUCUUCCUGCAUCGUUGUCUGCAGGGUGGCAAGAUGUAAGGAGACUGGCUGCUGGCAGUUGUUGGGGGCCUGUGGGAAAGCAGGCACACUUGUGUAGCCUUUCUGGAGAGCAGUAAAGUUUCUGAACUGUGUAACUAAACCCUUUAGCCCAGCAAUACCCCUCCUAGGCCCAUGCCCCAAAGGUUGAGAGGAGGAGGGAAAGGACUCAUGUACAAACAUUGAUAGAAGCUUCUUUUCGUGGUGACAAAAUGCCCCAUAAACUUGGGGGAUGUUUGAAGAAUGUAAUGGAAGAGUUUUAACCAUAAGAAAUGGGGAUGGGGCCUGUUAAAGAGACAUGGGAAGACUCAGACGAACUGAUGCACAGAGAAAUGAGCAAAACCAGGUGGACACUUUGUGUGCUAAUAACACUGUAAAGACAAGCCUGGGUCAUCGUGGUGACCAAGUCCAAUUUCAGAAGACCUGGGAAGAAGCGGAUGAACCCUCCUCCAAAAUGAGACGUGUAGACUGAGACAUAUCCUUUAUGGACAUAGCCAAUGUUAGGAUUUGUUUUGCUUGACUAUGCAUAUUUGUUAAAGGGGGUUUUCUUUUUGGUUUUAUUUUUUCUGGGGGAGAGGGUGGGGAGAGGGAGACAAAAUAGAUUUUUGUUAAUUGAUAAAAAUAAAAUUGAUUUUAAAAAGAU
Molecule: long non-coding RNA, 1329 nt
Filed under: Phascolarctos cinereus (koala)
Lineage: Eukaryota; Metazoa; Chordata; Mammalia; Diprotodontia; Phascolarctidae
Description: lncRNA (ENSPCIG00000035282.1)
Source: RNAcentral